CUAUUGUGAUCAAGGUCAAGUAUGGAGAGACACUUAGACGAUUCAAUGCCCGUGUUGCUGAUGAUAAACUUGGUCUUAACAUAGAUGGAUUAAAAGACAAGAUCUUUAAACUUUUCAACUUUCCUCCCGACAGUGAACUUACACUGACAUACAUUGAUGAGGAUGGUGAUGUUGUAACACUUGUUGAUGACGAUGAUCUGCAGGAUAUCACGAGGCAGGACCUGGAUCCCCUGCGAAUAUCUGUGACAUUAAACUCUGAAAAACUUAGUAUAUCUUCAGGUACAUCAAGUGGAAAUUCUACUUCCGUCAGGGCCCCACCUACAUUUCCGAACAUAAAUUCGAGUGUUUCGGAUCUUCUCAAGUCAUUGCCAAAGUCAAAAAGCAAAAAAAUCCUAAAGCACUCUGCAGAUAUGGCGUCUAAAGCCUCAUCAGCUGCCCGAGAAAUUGCUGAGCUUUCCAAAGCUCUCUCUGUGACUAGCUUAUCCUACUUAAAGCAGGCUUGUCCAGUAUCGGGAGUCCCUAUGGGUAGUGUUAAAAGUGGAGAGCCAUCUCAAGCAGCGAAUCCUGAGGAGCUGACCGUUAAAACUGCAGGACGACCCAAAAGUCAUACUGUAUCCAUAAAUGCAUCAGAAUUGAAAUCCUCCCAACCAGAUCAAAACGGAAUUCAGUGUGAACCAUUAUCAAAAAGUCCUAAGCGUAACUCAUCUCUGGUAGACGGUAAGAAGGAAGAGGGUAACAAAUUUGGUGAUUCCCAUCUUGUUGGGAAGGCUCUUGGUAAUUCAGAUCCUAGUGCCUCAACCACUGGCCCAAAAAAGACAGCUGAUAAACAGCAAACUGAGAAUCACCCUGGUGCUGAGCCUGUUGGUGUUGUUGGUUUAUCUGGGAAGCUUUCUGGUGGUUUUAGAUCCCCAAUUUCAUAUUGGAUGCCUAUGGUGCCCGUGUCAAAUGACACUAUCCAACCUCAAUACUCUACUUUCCGGAUCCCAGUUAAAAGGAGCCAUAAUCACAGUG
This 1011-nucleotide unclassified non-coding RNA is filed under the name Hevea brasiliensis (rubber tree). The record is from RNAcentral. Lineage: Eukaryota; Viridiplantae; Streptophyta; Magnoliopsida; Malpighiales; Euphorbiaceae.